RNAcentral lists this ribosomal RNA (916 nucleotides) under uncultured archaeon. RNAcentral's name for it is "bacterial SSU rRNA". It matches the Rfam family "Archaeal small subunit ribosomal RNA", at positions 21 to 922 of the family's 1478-position model. The record is from RNAcentral.
CCCGACUGCUAUUGGGGAAGAAUAACCCGUGCGAGUUGUAUGGGAUACCUAACUUUCCCAUAGCAUACUGCUUAGUAACACAUGAUCAACUUGCCCUAUGGAGAAAUAUAACCUCGGGAAACUGAGGAUAAUGAUUCAUAGUUGAAUAGGCUUGGAAAAGUUUUUCAAUGAAAGGGAUAAGAAAAAUGGUUCUUAUCUGCCAUAGGAUAGGAUCGUGCUCGAUUAUGGUUGUUGGUGAGGUAACGGCUCACCAAGCCGAUAAUCGAUAGGGGCCAUGAGAGCGGGAGCCCCAAGAUGGGUACUGAGACAGCGACCCAGGCCUUACGAGGCGCAGCAGGUACGAAACCUCCGCAAUACACGAAAGUGUGACGGGGUUACCCAAAGUGUUCUUAUUGAACUGUGGCAGGUGAGUAAUGUCCCCUGCUAGAAAGGAGAGGGCAAGGCUGGUGCCAGCCGCCGCGGUAAAACCAGCUCUUCAAGUGGUCGGGAUAAUUAUUGGGCUUAAAGUGUCCGUAGCCGGUUUAGUAAGUUCCUGGUAAAAUCAGGUAGCUUAACUAUCUGCAUGCUAGGAAUACUGCUUUACUAGAGGGCGGGAGAGGUCUGAGGUACUACAGGGGUAGGGGUGAAAUCUUAUAAUCCUUGUAGGACCACCAGUGGCGAAGGCGUCAGACUGGAACGCGCCUGACGGUGAGGGACGAAAGCCAGGGGAGCGAACCGGAUUAGAUACCCGGGUAGUCCUGGCCGUAAACGAUGCAUACUAGGUGAUGGUACGGCCAUGAGCCGUGUCAGUGCCGUAGGGAAACCGUUAAGUGUGCCGCCUGGGAAGUACGGUCGCAAGGCUAAAACUUAAAGGAAUUGGCGGGGGAGCACCACAAGGGGUGAAGCAUGCGGUUCAACAGGAGUAUUCAACGCCGGA